CAGUCGCCGCGUUAAUACGAAGGGUGCAAGCGUUAAUCGGAAUUACUGGGCGUAAAGCGUGCGUAGGCGGUUUGUUAAGUCUGCUGUGAAAUCCCCGGGCUCAACCUGGGAAUGGCAGUGGAUACUGGCAAGCUAGAGUGUGUCAGAGGAUGGUGGAAUUCCCGGUGUAGCGGUGAAAUGCGUAGAGAUCGGGAGGAACAUCAGUGGCGAAGGCGGCAUCUGGGGCAACACUGACGCUGAGGCACGAAAGCGUGGGGAGCAAACAGGAUUAGAUACCCGCGUAGUCCCUGUCUCUUAUACA
This 301-nucleotide ribosomal RNA is filed under the name uncultured bacterium. RNAcentral describes it as "partial 16S ribosomal RNA". It matches the Rfam family "Bacterial small subunit ribosomal RNA", at positions 509 to 808 of the family's 1533-position model. The record is from RNAcentral.